GAUGAAGAACGUAGCGAAAUGCGAUAAGUAAUGUGAAUUGCAGAAUUCAGUGAAUCAUCGAACCUUUGAACGCACAUUGCGCCCCUUGGUAUUCCGAGGGGCAUGCCUAUUCGAGCGUCAUUAUCACCCCUCAAGCCUAGCUUGGUGUUGAGGCCUGCUGUCAAGGCAGCCUCUAAAAUCAGUGGCAGUGCUGUCAGGCUCUAAGCGUAGUAAAUCUAAUCGCUAUAGACACCUGGUGGACACUCGCCAGAACCCCCCCCAUUUUUUAAUGAUUGACCUCGGAUUAGGUAGGGAUACCCGCUGAACUUAAGCAUAUCAAUAAGCGGAGGA
This 330-nucleotide unclassified non-coding RNA is filed under the name soil metagenome. Its description in RNAcentral is "partial contains 5.8S ribosomal RNA, internal transcribed spacer 2, and large subunit ribosomal RNA". The stretch from base 1 to 120 matches the Rfam family "5.8S ribosomal RNA", at positions 35 to 154 of the family's 154-position model. The record is from RNAcentral.